CGUGCACCAGUGGGGUCCCUUGGCCUGGCCUGCACCCUCUCACAAUCCAGGACCUCUUGGGGGAUGUCGGAGAGCCGGUUUUGGCCCUAUCCCGCAGGCCAGGCCAAGGGACCCCACUGGUGCACG
RNAcentral lists this microRNA precursor (126 nucleotides) under Myotis lucifugus (little brown bat). RNAcentral's name for it is "mir-9193 microRNA precursor family". It matches the Rfam family "mir-9193 microRNA precursor family". Lineage: Eukaryota; Metazoa; Chordata; Mammalia; Chiroptera; Vespertilionidae. The record is from Rfam by way of RNAcentral.